AUCGAACGCUGGCGGCAGGCCUAACACAUGCAAGUCGAGCGGAUGAAGAGAGCUUGCUCUCUGAUUUAGCGGCGGACGGGUGAGUAAUGCCUAGGAAUCUGCCUGGUAGUGGGGGAUAACGUUCCGAAAGGAACGCUAAUACCGCAUACGUCCUACGGGAGAAAGCAGGGGACCUUCGGGCCUUGCGCUAUCAGAUGAGCCUAGGUCGGAUUAGCUAGUUGGUGAGGUAAUGGCUCACCAAGGCGACGAUCCGUAACUGGUCUGAGAGGAUGAUCAGUCACACUGGAACUGAGACACGGUCCAGACUCCUACGGGAGGCAGCAGUGGGGAAUAUUGGACAAUGGGCGAAAGCCUGAUCCAGCCAUGCCGCGUGUGUGAAGAAGGUCUUCGGAUUGUAAAGCACUUUAAGUUGGGAGGAAGGGCAUUAACCUAAUACGUUAGUGUUUUGACGUUACCAACAGAAUAAGCACCGGCUAACUUCGUGCCAGCAGCCGCCGCGG
RNAcentral lists this ribosomal RNA (500 nucleotides) under uncultured bacterium. RNAcentral describes it as "partial 16S ribosomal RNA". It matches the Rfam family "Bacterial small subunit ribosomal RNA", at positions 30 to 523 of the family's 1533-position model. The record is from RNAcentral.